UUGGAGGGCAAGUCUGGUGCCAGCAGCCGCGGUAAUUCCAGCUCCAAUAGCGUAUAUUAAAGUUGUUGCAGUUAAAAAGCUCGUAGUUGAAUUUCGGGAUCAGAGUGUCGGUCGUGCCUCGGUACGCACUGGUAUUAUUGGUUCCUACCUUCUGAAGAACCGCGAUGUCAUUAAUUUGGUGUCGUGGGGAAUCAGGACUGUUACUUUGAAAAAAUUAGAGUGUUUAAAGCAGGCUUACGCUUGAAUACAUUAGCAUGGAAUAAUGAAAUAGGACGUUUGAUUCUAUUUUGUUGGUUUCUAGGAUCGACGUAAUGAUUAAUAGGGAUAGUUGGGGGCAUUAGUAUUCAAUUGUCAGAGGUGAAAUUCUUGGAUUUAUUGAAGACUAACUACUGCGAAAGCAUUUGCCAAGGAUGUUUUCAUUAAUCAAGAACGAAAGUUAGGGGAUCGAAGACGAUCAGGUACCGUCGUAGUCUUAACCAUAAACUAUGCCGACUAGGGAUCGGAUGAUGUUAAUUUUUUAAUGACUCAUUCGGCGCCUUACGGGAAACCAAAGUGUUUGGGUUC
This 564-nucleotide ribosomal RNA is filed under the name uncultured Glomeromycotina. RNAcentral describes it as "SSU rRNA". It matches the Rfam family "Eukaryotic small subunit ribosomal RNA", at positions 548 to 1114 of the family's 1831-position model. The record is from RNAcentral. Lineage: Eukaryota; Fungi; Glomeromycota.